CCAGCAGUGGAGCCUGCGGCUUAAUUUGACUCAACGCGGGGUAUCCUACCAGGCCCGGACACUCGAAGGAUUGACAGAUUGAGAGCUCUUUCUUGAUUGGGUGCGUGGUGGUGCAUGGCCGUUCUUCGUUGGUGAGGCGACUUGUCUGCUUAAUUGCGAUAACGAACGAGACUCUAGCCUGCUAACUAGUCGAUACCGGCAUCCGUUGUGCAGCCGGCGACUAUAUAUCUUCUUAGAGGGACGGGUGGUGCACAGCCACACGAGAUUGAGCAAUAACAGGUCUGUGAUGCCCUUAGAUGUCCUGGGCCGCACGCGCGCUACACUGAAGGAAUCAGCGUGUGUUUUCCUAGUCCGAGAGGGCCGGGUAACCCGUUGAACCCCCUUCGUGCUAGGGAUUGGGGCUUGAAAUUAUUCCCCACGAACGAGGAAUUCCUAGUAAGCGUGAGUCAUAACCUCGCGUUGAUUAUGUCCCUGCCCUUUGUCCACACCGCCCGUCGCUACUACCGAUUGAAUGAUUUAGUGAGGUCUUCGGACCGGUGCGCGGCUUUCGGAAUUUUUUUCGAAAACCGAUGCUACCGGAAAGAUGAUCGAACUUGAUUAUUUAGAGGAAGU
Molecule: ribosomal RNA, 612 nt
Filed under: Phylloscirtus sp. MCJ-2002
Lineage: Eukaryota; Metazoa; Arthropoda; Insecta; Orthoptera; Trigonidiidae
Description: SSU rRNA
Rfam family: Eukaryotic small subunit ribosomal RNA
Source: RNAcentral